AAUAUAACUUUCAGCGACGGAUAUCUAGGCUCCCACAACGAUGAAGAACGCAGCGAAAUGCGAUACGUCUUGCGACUUGCAGAACCCAGUGAAUCAUCAAACCUUCGAACGCACCUUGCGCUCUCGGGCAUUCCCGGGAGCAUGCUUGUCGGAGUGUCCGCG
Molecule: ribosomal RNA, 162 nt
Filed under: Tribonema aequale
Lineage: Eukaryota; Xanthophyceae; Tribonematales; Tribonemataceae
Description: 5.8S ribosomal RNA
Rfam family: 5.8S ribosomal RNA
About the family: 5.8S ribosomal RNA (5.8S rRNA) is a component of the large subunit of the eukaryotic ribosome. It is transcribed by RNA polymerase I as part of the 45S precursor that also contains 18S and 28S rRNA. Functionally, it is thought that 5.8S rRNA may be involved in ribosome translocation.
Source: RNAcentral